Molecule: ribosomal RNA, 465 nt
Filed under: Vreelandella stevensii
Lineage: Bacteria; Pseudomonadati; Pseudomonadota; Gammaproteobacteria; Oceanospirillales; Halomonadaceae
Description: partial 16S ribosomal RNA
Rfam family: Bacterial small subunit ribosomal RNA
Source: RNAcentral
CCUAGGGGAGGCAGCAGUGGGGAAUAUUGGACAAUGGGCGAAAGCCUGAUCCAGCCAUGCCGCGUGUGUGAAGAAGGCCUUCGGGUUGUAAAGCACUUUCAGUGGGGAAGAAAGCCUUGGGGCUAAUACCCUCGAGGAAGGACAUCACCCACAGAAGAAGCACCGGCUGACUCCGUGCCAGCAGCCGCGGUAAUACGGAGGGUGCGAGCGUUAAUCGGAAUUACUGGGCGUAAAGCGCGCGUAGGCGGUCUGAUAAGCCGGUUGUGAAAGCCCCGGGCUCAACCUGGGAACGGCAUCCGGAACUGUCAGGCUAGAGUGCAGGAGAGGAAGGUAGAAUUCCCGGUGUAGCGGUGAAAUGCGUAGAGAUCGGGAGGAAUACCAGUGGCGAAGGCGGCCUUCUGGACUGACACUGACGCUGAGGUGCGAAAGCGUGGGUAGCAAACAGGAUUAGAUACCCGUGUAGUC